AAUAACCACGGAUGACCCUGACCGCGAUGGU
This 31-nucleotide small RNA is filed under the name Bombyx mori (domestic silkworm). RNAcentral's name for it is "ovarian small RNA-10734". Lineage: Eukaryota; Metazoa; Arthropoda; Insecta; Lepidoptera; Bombycidae. The record is from RNAcentral.